GAUGAACGCUGGCGGCGUGCUUAACACAUGCAAGUCGAACGAAGCGUCCCGCCCGAUGAAACGGAGUGCUUGCACAAAGUAGAAUCAAUUGGGAUGACUUAGUGGCGGACGGGUGAGUAACGCGUGGGUAACCUGCCUUACACAGGGGGACAACAGUUGGAAACGACUGCUAAUACCGCAUAACCCGCUAGUACCGCAUGGUACAGACGGAAAAGAUUUAUCGGUGUAAGAUGGACCCGCGUCUGAUUAGAUAGUUGGUGAGGUAACGGCUCACCAAGUCGACGAUCAGUAGCCGGCCUGAGAGGGUGAACGGCCACAUUGGGACUGAGACACGGCCCAAACUCC
Molecule: ribosomal RNA, 345 nt
Filed under: uncultured Butyrivibrio sp.
Lineage: Bacteria; Bacillati; Bacillota; Clostridia; Lachnospirales; Lachnospiraceae
Description: bacterial SSU rRNA
Rfam family: Bacterial small subunit ribosomal RNA
Source: RNAcentral